AGAGUUUGAUCAUGGCUCAGAAUCAACGCUGGCGGCGCGCCUAACACAUGCAAGUCGAACGAGAAAGCAGGAGCAAUCUUGUGAGUAAAGUGGCGUACGGGUGAGUAACACGUGGAUCAUCUACCCUCUUGUGGGGGAUAACCCUGGGAAACCGGGGCUAAUACCGCAUAAGUCCGAGAGGAGAAAGCAGCAAUGCGCAGGAGGAGGAGUCCGCGGCCGAUUAGCUAGUUGGUAGGGUAAAAGCCUACCAAGGCUACGAUCGGUAGCCGGCCUGAGAGGGCACACGGCCACACUGGCACUGAAACACGGGCCAGACUCCUACGGGAGGCAGCAGUGGGGAAUCUUGCACAAUGGGGGCAACCCUGAUGCAGCGACGCCGCGUGAGCGAUGAAGCCCUUCGGGGUGUAAAGCUCUUUCGGCAGGGAAGAUUAUGACGGUACCCGCAGAAGCAGCUGCGGCUAACUACGUGCCAGCAGCCGCGGUAAUACGUAGGCAGCAAGCGUUGUUCGGAGUUACUGGGCGUAAAGGGUGUGUAGGCGGUUUUCUAAGUCUGGUGUGAAAUCUCCCGGCUCAACUGGGAGGGUGCGCCGAAAACUGGAAGGCUAGAGUGCGGGAUGGGAGAGUGGAAUUCCUGGUGUAGCGGUGAAAUGCGUAGAUAUCAGGAGGAACACCGGUGGUGUAGACGGCUCUCUGGACCAUUACUGACGCUGAGACACGAAAGCGUGGGUAGCAAACAGGAUUAGAUACCCUAGUAGUCC
RNAcentral lists this ribosomal RNA (758 nucleotides) under uncultured bacterium. Its description in RNAcentral is "bacterial SSU rRNA". It matches the Rfam family "Bacterial small subunit ribosomal RNA", at positions 8 to 796 of the family's 1533-position model. The record is from RNAcentral.